UGGGGAAUAUUGGGCAAUGGGCGCAAGCCUGACCCAGCAACGCCGCGUGAAGGAAGAAGGCUUUCGGGUUGUAAACUUCUUUUCUGGGGGACGAAGAAAGUGACGGUACUCCAGGAAUAAGCCACGGCUAACUACGUGCCAGCAGCCGCGGUAAUACGUAGGUGGCAAGCGUUAUCCGGAUUUAUUGGGUGUAAAGGGCGUGUAGGCGGGAGUGCAAGUCAGAUGUGAAAACUAUGGGCUCAACCCAUAGCCUGCAUUUGAAACUGUACUUCUUGAGUGCUGGAGAGGCAAUCGGAAUUCCGUGUGUAGCGGUGAAAUGCGUAGAUAUACGGAGGAACACCAGUGGCGAAGGCGGAUUGCUGGACAGUAACUGACGCUGAGGCGCGAAAGCGUGGGGAGCAAACAGGAUUAGAUACCC
RNAcentral lists this ribosomal RNA (418 nucleotides) under uncultured bacterium. RNAcentral describes it as "bacterial SSU rRNA". It matches the Rfam family "Bacterial small subunit ribosomal RNA", at positions 355 to 787 of the family's 1533-position model. The record is from RNAcentral.